CGGGACGGGUGAGUAAUGUCUGGGAAACUGCCUGAUGGAGGGGGAUAACUGCUGGAAACGGUAGCUAAUACCGUAUAACGUCGCAAGACCAAAGAGGGGGCCUUCGGGCCUCUUGCCAUCGGAUGUGCCCAGAUGGGAUUAGCUAGUAGGUGGGGUAACGGCUCACCUAGGCGACGAUCCCUAGCUGGUCUGAGAGGAUGGCCAGCCACACUGGAACUGAGACACGGUCCAG
RNAcentral lists this ribosomal RNA (232 nucleotides) under uncultured bacterium. RNAcentral describes it as "partial 16S ribosomal RNA". It matches the Rfam family "Bacterial small subunit ribosomal RNA", at positions 100 to 334 of the family's 1533-position model. The record is from RNAcentral.